UGGGAGAGGCUAAAUCUCCGUCACCUCGUCGCGCCGGUCACUUCAGCUACACAACUUCUGAUGACGUCAUCUCUACUUUCGUUUCGGGUCUAAAUGAAAAUAAUGCUGUGGUGCAGUGCAGAAUCGGAGACUGCAAAAACAAUAUGCCAAAACACUUUUGUUGUGUUGAGGUUACCGGUGUUAAUCCGAUACCUCAGCCUGUAGUCCUGUCUCCCAAUACCUAAAGGAAAACACUGAAAAGAAACUUCAUCGACCAUCAUCGACUGAAAGAGUUGUGGUCAGCUUGUCAAGUGAGAAUGGCUGGAUUAGAUCAACUGGUAUUAUCAUGGAAUAACAAUCAACAUGUCUUGACAAAUUCCCAGGAGGCAGAUCUGGAUUUCUGCCCAGAUUUACAGAGUGUUGCUUCUCAGGCCCUGGAAUCUCUUAAGUCUGUGGAACUGAAUUCGAACAUCAGUUCAACUGUGUAGAAAACCACCAACUCGUCAAAAUCACCUUACUGUUGUACCUUCUGCUGUAACACAGGCAUUUUUUAUGUUAGCAUUUUAUUAACAGUUGACAGAAGAUGCCAUGAGUGAAGACUGUUUAAAAAUUUGCAAAUUGCAAAAGGAUUCAAGAAAGGGAAGUGGGAGAAGUUAAGAAUGUUAUAGAGGAAGGGAGAAUAGAGAAGCAGUUAAAUGCUAGUGUAAAAGAGAAAGCUGGAAACAGAAAUAAAAGGAGUGUAGUGAGAGAAACGAAAAUGAGAAUUGAAGGGAGAAUAGAAGAUGUUGUAAGUAAGUAAGGUGUGUAAAAUGUUAUGUUGUUUAAUAUUGAUUUAAUAAAACAUAAAUUUAUUUGA
This is a long non-coding RNA of Pecten maximus, 835 nucleotides long. RefSeq lists it as uncharacterized. Lineage: Eukaryota; Metazoa; Mollusca; Bivalvia; Pectinida; Pectinidae. The record is from RefSeq and is a predicted model, not a curated record. The transcript has 2 exons.